RNAcentral lists this transfer RNA (18 nucleotides) under Causonis japonica var. pseudotrifolia. RNAcentral's name for it is "partial tRNA-His". RNAcentral also lists the same sequence under 1 other name. Lineage: Eukaryota; Viridiplantae; Streptophyta; Magnoliopsida; Vitales; Vitaceae. The record is from RNAcentral.
GGGGCGGAUGUAGCCAAG